UCCUGCGGAUGCACUCUUCUACGCGUGUCGCGUGUAAUUCCGCGUCGAACCGGCGGCCCGCCGAUUCUCGCCGAUCGUGUUUGCUCGCAGCUCGCUCUCGGGGCGGCGACGACAAGCGGUGAACGUGCGGCCGUUUCGGCAUCCGCGGGGUUUAUCAGUGGCCGGGGAUAGCCGGGGAACGCCGGAACGGUGUUAUCGUCGCUUUAAGGACUGAAAGGCGAAAUAAUUAUUGGCAGCUGUCAUCCCGCGUGGCGCUCAUUGGCUUCUAUGCUUCUUAGCCCCGUGUCAAUAGUCGUUACUUGAAACUUGCUUCACAUGAGAUACGCCACUUUAAAGUUAAAUCGUUUUCUUCCAACUUAAAUAAACUCAUCCCUGAAGAGCUGUUGACUCGUUCUUAUCAAAUGUGCUGUUAUCCUGACACUCCUGAUAAUCGUCCGUUGCGGAAAUGACUCCAACUCCUGGCUGUGACACGUGUGACAUUAACCGCAAGUUAACCUCGGGACUUAAAUGACGGAUCAAGUGCGCGCGACUUCUUUCGCUAUCGAAAACAAAAUUCGUUGUUAUUAUUACAACGAAAACAGUAUAAACCUUUUAACGAAUUAACGGAAGGAAGCUAGUUCCGAAGAAAACAAAGAAGAAAAAAAGGAAGAAACGCGAUAAAAGAAAAACGAGAAGAAGAAUAAAAGAAAGAAAAGGA
Molecule: long non-coding RNA, 697 nt
Organism: Dinoponera quadriceps
Lineage: Eukaryota; Metazoa; Arthropoda; Insecta; Hymenoptera; Formicidae
Exons: 3
Source: RefSeq, a predicted model, not a curated record